Molecule: ribosomal RNA, 810 nt
Filed under: Pristimantis sobetes
Lineage: Eukaryota; Metazoa; Chordata; Amphibia; Anura; Strabomantidae
Description: partial 16S ribosomal RNA
Rfam family: Bacterial large subunit ribosomal RNA
Source: RNAcentral
UACCAUAAUUACACUCGACCCCUUUAAUUGUACUGAGAACUUCUAUAAAAUUAUAGAACUUUUUAUGCUAAAACUAGUAACAAGAGGUAAAACCUCUCUAUAAUGCAAGUAUAAGCCAGCAAGAAUCCGUCACUGUCAACUAACAGACCUAAACAAAAGUAGCAACCCACCCAGAAAACCCUACCUACCUUAACUGUUAACCUAAUACUAGAGCAUUUCAAGAAAGAUUAAAAGAAAGAGAAGGAACUCGGCAAAUAUUAGCCCCGCCUGUUUACCAAAAACAUCGCCUCUUGCUAUUAUAAGAGGUCUAGCCUGCCCAGUGACUUCUGUUCAACGGCCGCGGUAUCCUAACCGUGCGAAGGUAGCGUAAUCACUUGUCUUCUAAAUAGAGACCAGUAUGAAAGGCAUCACGAGGGCUAAACUGUCUCCUCCCCCUAAUCAGUGAACCUAAUCCCCCCGUGAAGAAGCGGGGAUUUUUUUAUAAGACGAGAAGACCCUAUGGAGCUUAAAACAUCACACACCUGCUGCUAUUUUUUAUUUACCCAGGUAUUUCCCCCCCCCGGCAGGCUGAUUAAGUGUUUUUGGUUGGGGUGACCGUGGAGAAAAAUUUAUCCUCCACAAUGAAAGGAAUUACUCCUAAACAGCAAGCUACAACUUUAUGUAUCAGCAAACUGACAUCCAUUGACCCAAUAUAUUGAUUAACGAACCAAGUUACCCUAGGGAUAACAGCGCAAUCCACUUUGAGAGCCCCUAUCGACAAGUGGGCUUACGACCUCGAUGUUGGAUCGGGGUAUCCUAGUGGUGCAGCCG